Molecule: ribosomal RNA, 382 nt
Filed under: uncultured eukaryote
Lineage: Eukaryota
Description: partial 18S ribosomal RNA
Rfam family: Eukaryotic small subunit ribosomal RNA
Source: RNAcentral
UGUAAGCGUAUACCAAAGUUGUUGCAGUUAAAACGCUCGUAGUCGGAAUUUGGCAGUUCCGGAUGUGUGCACGUCGUGUGCGCACUUCGCGGGGAUUGCUUUUGUGGUCUUGCGUAGGAUGAGGCACUUUUAUUAGUGAACGUCCUCACGCAACCACUUUUUACUGUGAGAAAAUCAGAGUGCUCAAAGCAGGCAUUUGCCGUGAAUGUAUUAGCAUGGAAUAAUAGAAUAGGACUUGGUUCUAUUUUGUUGGUUUGUUGGGACUGAGUAAUGAUUAAGAGGGACAGUUGGGGGCAUUUGUAUUUCGGUGCUAGAGAUGAAAUUCUUAGAUUACCGAAAGACAAACUGCUGCGAAAGCGUCUGCCAAGGAUGUUUUCAUUGA